RNAcentral lists this transfer RNA (85 nucleotides) under Neisseria meningitidis. Its description in RNAcentral is "tRNA-Leu". It matches the Rfam family "tRNA". Rfam says of the family: Transfer RNA (tRNA) molecules are approximately 80 nucleotides in length. Their secondary structure includes four short double-helical elements and three loops (D, anti-codon, and T loops). The record is from RNAcentral. Lineage: Bacteria; Pseudomonadati; Pseudomonadota; Betaproteobacteria; Neisseriales; Neisseriaceae.
GCGGGCGUGGCGAAAUUGGUAGACGCACCAGAUUUAGGUUCUGGCGCCGAGAGGUGUGAGAGUUCGAGUCUCUCCGUCCGCACCA